CCGUGACGUCACCGGCAUGCUCGGCUUUUGGCCGGGCCUGUGGUCCGCAAGUGUGGACGCUGCUUGGGAACCCGCCAGGGCCGAGCCGCGGUACUCCAGAAGGAGACAACAGUGAAGGGGAUGUGGAGGAGACGCUGGGGAAGAACUUUCCUGGUGGGGCCCAUGUUCCUCUGGUGCAGUUGACCUCUGGUAUCUGGAAUGGCAGAAACAAAUUAGAGAUAAGUGGGGACUACUGUACCUGCAAUAAAGCUCAUCUGCUUCACUUAUAUUUUUCAGGGUUAAAGCACAGCACUAUGAAGCUUUCCGCAACCACUGCAGCACGAGUUCGAUUCCUGGCAGGGAUGUGACCCUCGUGGUAUGCAGACCUCACUCUGUCUCUGAAUCCUGUCACCCCCCUGUACCUCUGGCAUGUACCCCA
This is a long non-coding RNA of Condylura cristata (star-nosed mole), 418 nucleotides long. RefSeq lists it as uncharacterized. Lineage: Eukaryota; Metazoa; Chordata; Mammalia; Eulipotyphla; Talpidae. The transcript is spliced from 3 exons. The record is from RefSeq and is a predicted model, not a curated record.